This 1623-nucleotide unclassified non-coding RNA is filed under the name Hevea brasiliensis (rubber tree). Lineage: Eukaryota; Viridiplantae; Streptophyta; Magnoliopsida; Malpighiales; Euphorbiaceae. The record is from RNAcentral.
AAAAUCUGUUAUUUUUCACACUUUUUUUGGUUCAAAUAACACACAAAAUGUAUUCUGGGAACGUCGUAAAGCAACCCCACGAUGUAUAUAACUUUGUUAAACUACUAUGAGAGGUAAAAGGCAAGUGAAACCUCAAUAGUGCUAUGGCCACUUCUAAAGCUGUACAACUUCAGUUCUCACAAAACCCAAAACAGAAAUCUGUGACUACUGACCGACUAAUGAUCCUAAUAGAGCCGCAAAAAUUGGUUUCUCUGUGGAGCCUGGAAAGGGGCCGGGGAGAGUAGCAGGGACCUUCGGCUUGCAGUGUGACACUAGAUGAGCAUAUAAUUCCCGAAAUUCGUCUGAUCUGUAGGGUAGUUGACACCAGAGUUCUUGAAAUCUUUGCUUCAAAAUCAGCUCGAGUUGUCAAAAAUAACCUUGGAUAUUAGGGGUUUGGCGUUUGCUUCCCACUCUGUUGCCCAAUUAACAGAAGAUCUGCUUGCCAAUACUCCCUGUCUCAGCGACUUCAACUCAUCACAUUCACCUGGGAAUCCCUUAAACAGCGUCACAAAUUGAUCAGCCAGUUCCGAGGAUGAAGAGAAGAGUAGGCCAUUCUUGUCAACUUCGACCAGCUCGUUGAUACAAGAGUAGGAAACAGCACAGACUGGUAAUCCACAGCCAAACAUAUCCACAACCUUCAUUGGAAGAUCCAACCCUGAAGAGGACGUAUGCAAGCAAACACCAAGAUCUGCUGAUCCAAGAAGCAAUGGGUAAUCCUCUGGCUCUAACCACAUAGUACGAAAUGCUACACGUUUAAGGUUGAGUUUUGCCAUCUUUUGUUCAUAUUUUUCCUUUUCAGGCCCUUUACCUGUAAUUAUAAAUAAUAAUCUAGGGUAUUGCUUCCCACCCUUGAUUUCCUGCCAGAAAACAUCCUCCCUCUUCAAGUCAUCCUCGUUCAGCAAUGCAGAAACCCUUCUAUCAUACAUUAGUGCUGCUUCUAAGAGAAUGCUAAAAUCUUCAUCCGGAGUCCAGCUUGUACUGCUUACAAUGAGCGCUGGUCUGUUCCACUUCAAGGAAAUAUCUGUGCCAGUCUGAGUUGUAAAUAGAGUUACAUUAGGGUUGUCAUCGUCUGGUGUUAGUUCCUCAUUGCUAAGACAGUCUUGAAGGCUGUAAGGUGUUCUCAGACUCUUAUCAAUCCCACAAAACAACUUGUGCUUCUCCUCCAGGGAAGCAGGUUGAAAAAAAUCAGGAGGUUGAUCAUAUAGAACAGUGGCACUGAUUCCCCAGUUUUGAGACAAUUCAUGUUGCAUUGCCUUUGUCACACAUAAGGAACCAUUAGCCAUUUUCCCAAAAUGCUUCUCAAUCCAAUGAUAUAAAGCCACAAACCGACUAUUCCUCCCGAGAGACAAUGCUAGAAGAGUAUAUCCAAAGUUAUGCCAAUCUAUAAUGAACGCAGAACGUCUAAUCCAACUGGCCAAUUUUACAGCAACCAGUGUAGGAACAGAUGGUGGAUUCUGAACUAUGAAAACAUCCGGCUUAGGAAUUUUAACACAGAGAUACCAUAGGAGCAUAAAAAACUGGACCAGUGGCUUAAGUAUGAGCAAUAAAGGAUGGAGUAUCUUUGGAAAACUUCUGGGGUUUGAU